RNAcentral lists this ribosomal RNA (495 nucleotides) under uncultured soil bacterium. Its description in RNAcentral is "bacterial SSU rRNA". It matches the Rfam family "Bacterial small subunit ribosomal RNA", at positions 26 to 511 of the family's 1533-position model. The record is from RNAcentral.
AGAUUGAACGCUGGCGGCAUGCCUUACACAUGCAAGUCGAACGGCAGCACGGGAGCAAUCCUGGUGGCGAGUGGCGAACGGGUGAGUAAUACAUCGGAACGUGCCCAAUCGUGGGGGAUAACGCAGCGAAAGCUGUGCUAAUACCGCAUAAGAUCUACGGAUGAAAGCAGGGGAUCGCAAGACCUUGCGCGAAUGGAGCGGCCGAUGGCAGAUUAGGUAGUUGGUGAGGUAAAGGCUCACCAAGCCUUCGAUCUGUAGCUGGUCUGAGAGGACGACCAGCCACACUGGGACUGAGACACGGCCCAGACUCCUACGGGAGGCAGCAGUGGGGAAUUUUGGACAAUGGCGAAAGCCUGAUCCAGCCAUGCCGCGUGCAGGAUGAAGGCCUUCGGUUGUAAACGUGCGUUUGUACGGAACGAAAAGUACGUACUUUCUAAUAAAGAAGGAUCAUGACGGUAACCGUAAAGUAAUAAAGACACCGGACUAACUUAACCG